RNAcentral lists this transfer RNA (76 nucleotides) under Candidatus Bipolaricaulota bacterium. Its description in RNAcentral is "tRNA-Thr". It matches the Rfam family "tRNA". From Rfam's summary of the family: Transfer RNA (tRNA) molecules are approximately 80 nucleotides in length. Their secondary structure includes four short double-helical elements and three loops (D, anti-codon, and T loops). Further hydrogen bonds mediate the characteristic L-shaped molecular structure. tRNAs have two regions of fundamental functional importance: the anti-codon, which is responsible for specific mRNA codon recognition, and the 3' end, to which the tRNAs corresponding amino acid is attached (by aminoacyl-tRNA synthetases). tRNAs cope with the degeneracy of the genetic code in two manners: having more than one tRNA (with a specific anti-codon) for a particular amino acid; and 'wobble' base-pairing, i.e. permitting non-standard base-pairing at the 3rd anti-codon position. The record is from RNAcentral. Lineage: Bacteria; Candidatus Bipolaricaulota.
GCCCGUGUAGCUCAGCAGGCAGAGCAUCCCGCUGGUAAUGGGAAGGUCGUCGGUUCGAAUCCGACCGCGGGCUCCA